GGUACUGUACUUUAUUAUAGAAGGUCUGGUUUGCAACUAGAGAGAAGACACUUGUCUCAGAACCA
This 65-nucleotide transfer RNA is filed under the name Nembrotha kubaryana. RNAcentral describes it as "tRNA-Ala". The record is from RNAcentral. Lineage: Eukaryota; Metazoa; Mollusca; Gastropoda; Nudibranchia; Polyceridae.